UGGUGGAGUGAUUUGUCUGGUUUAUUCCGAUAACGAACGAGACUCCAACCUACUAACUAGUGGGGCAAUCUUUGAGUUGCCGUCACUUCUUAGAGGGACAAUUGGCGUUUAGUCAAAUGAGAAGGAGCAAUAACA
This 135-nucleotide ribosomal RNA is filed under the name uncultured eukaryote. RNAcentral describes it as "partial 18S ribosomal RNA". It matches the Rfam family "Eukaryotic small subunit ribosomal RNA", at positions 1299 to 1458 of the family's 1831-position model. The record is from RNAcentral.